This is a long non-coding RNA of Limulus polyphemus (Atlantic horseshoe crab), 1095 nucleotides long. RefSeq lists it as uncharacterized. NCBI's taxonomy places the organism in Eukaryota, Metazoa, Arthropoda, Merostomata, Xiphosura, Limulidae. The transcript is spliced from 6 exons. The record is from RefSeq and is a predicted model, not a curated record.
AUUUAAGGGAGACUGUUGGAUAUGUAUGGAGCUAAUGGACUCAUCUUUAGACAAAUGUUAUAAGUUUGUGUAUGAGAAAAUGAAUCAGACAAUCCCAGAGUUUAUCUUAGGAAAAAUUACUGUAGCAACCGUCAAUGCCCUUAACUACCUAAAGGAGAAGCUAACAAUUAUUCACAGAGCCAGAAAGAAUUGACCCUAGCCAGGCAAGAGGAUAUGAUGUCCGUUCUGAUGUGUGGAGCCUGGGGAUAACUCUGAUUGAAGUAGCUACAGGAAGGUUUCCUUAUCCAAAGUGGGACAGUGUCUUCGAACAACUCACUCAAGUUGUACAGGGAGAACCACCUCAGUUAAGGCACUAUGAGAAUGGAAGGAUCUUUUCCAACGAUUUUGUGGCCUUUGUAAACACAUGUUUAAUCAAAGAUGAACAACAUCGACCUAAGUACAAGAAAUUGUUGGAACACCAGUUUAUACAGCGGUCUGAACGGGAAAGUGUGGACAUGGCAGGUUACUUUGCUUUUAUCCUCAAUAAAAUGGAAUGCAGCAGUUAAGGAGAUAUUUUCAUGGACUUUUGUGUAUAUGGUAAAAUACGGAAGAAGUACCAGGUAUUGGAGAUGGGUGGAUAAAUUCGGCUGUACUUUGAACUGGAAUGCCACCUGGCCAAUACGCUGGUGUCCAACCCAUGGAAAUUUAAACUUUGUUAUAUAAAUCUACAAUUGAAUAUUUUCUUACACAUUGGAGGUGAUUCUGAGAUCUAAUUUAUCUCAACAUACUUGCAAAUUUCAAUAAUUCAUCAGUAGUUGAGGCCAAGAAAUGUGGUGGAAAAUAUUAGUUAAUGUAUUGUUUGUAUAAUUAACAUGAUACUAGAAGUUGUUGCGGUUAACUGUGUUAAAUUCUGAAUAUGGUCCAAACUUUCCUAGUCAAUACAUAUUGACUGGAAGGAUGAAGUUUGACAGUUUACAGCCUAUAGGUGGAACAAAUUAGUUGACUCAUUCAAAGUGAAGCCCAAAUUGUGAAAUAUUAAUGCAGAUUUUGAACUUGUUGCAACUGAAAAAAAUGUGAUUUUUUUUUUAAUCCUUGAAUAAACGAGUGUACCAAUUA